This 260-nucleotide unclassified non-coding RNA is filed under the name uncultured Mortierella. RNAcentral describes it as "partial internal transcribed spacer 2". The record is from RNAcentral. Lineage: Eukaryota; Fungi; Mortierellomycota; Mortierellomycetes; Mortierellales; Mortierellaceae.
AACACCUCAAGUCUCGAGAUAUUUUAUAUUUCGAGACUUGGAUUUGAGUGAUCCUAACUACAAGUCGUCUUUUUUGACGGCUAGAAGGCAGGUCACUUGAAAUUCAGGUGCAGCUGAACUUUUCUUCUGAGCUAAAAGCAUUAUUUUAUUUAGUCUUUAUUGACUAUUACUUUUUGCUGCAGCUAAUAUAAAGGGAGAAUCGUUUCUUAAUGCUGACUGAUGCAGGAAUUUAUCAGUUUCUCGUAAAAAAGGACUGUUAG